UGUUGCUACAUCUCUUGAGGAUUUACUUUAAAUAUGAAAAGCUGUUUCUGACAAACAAACUGUCUUCUACAUUGACAUGUUAACAUAAAAACAUUGAGAUAUAGAGGUUUAUGUAAUCCAUCGCACAUCGGCUUAUUUUUUAAUAUAAUACACACAAAGCGAGAAUUGGCACAACUGGGACUAAAUAGAAUAGUUGGUUGGACAUUG
RNAcentral lists this long non-coding RNA (207 nucleotides) under Mytilus galloprovincialis (Mediterranean mussel). The record is from RNAcentral. Lineage: Eukaryota; Metazoa; Mollusca; Bivalvia; Mytilida; Mytilidae.